GGGGAUGUGGCUCAGUGGUAGAGCGCCCGCUUUGCAUCUAGCAUGUCUGCGGGAGGCCCAGGUUUCGAUCACCUGCUUCUCCA
Non-coding RNA from Clathrospora elynae, 83 nucleotides. The record is from the annotation of a GenBank genome assembly. Lineage: Eukaryota; Fungi; Ascomycota; Dothideomycetes; Pleosporales; Diademaceae.